GCAGGCAGGCAGGCAGCAGGCAGGGGACAUCCACCCUGCCUGCUGCCUGCCUGCCUCU
This 58-nucleotide microRNA precursor is filed under the name Podarcis lilfordi (Lilford's wall lizard). Lineage: Eukaryota; Metazoa; Chordata; Lepidosauria; Squamata; Lacertidae. The record is from RNAcentral.